UCCCCUUCUAGGCCUUGAGUACCUUGUAAC
This 30-nucleotide non-coding RNA is filed under the name Rattus norvegicus (Norway rat). Lineage: Eukaryota; Metazoa; Chordata; Mammalia; Rodentia; Muridae. The record is from RNAcentral.